This 1370-nucleotide ribosomal RNA is filed under the name uncultured bacterium. Its description in RNAcentral is "bacterial SSU rRNA". It matches the Rfam family "Bacterial small subunit ribosomal RNA", at positions 28 to 1381 of the family's 1533-position model. The record is from RNAcentral.
GAUGAACGCUGGCGGCGUGCCUAAUACAUGCAAGUCGAGCGAACGGACGAGAAGCUUGCUUCUCUGAUGUUAGCGGCGGACGGGUGAGUAACACGUGGAUAACCUACCUAUAAGACUGGGAUAACUUCGGGAAACCGGAGCUAAUACCGGAUAAUAUUUUGAACCGCAUGGUUCAAAAGUGAAAGACGGUCUUGCUGUCACUUAUAGAUGGAUCCGCGCUGCAUUAGCUAGUUGGUAAGGUAACGGCUUACCAAGGCAACGAUGCAUAGCCGACCUGAGAGGGUGAUCGGCCACACUGGAACUGAGACACGGUCCAGACUCCUACGGGAGGCAGCAGUAGGGAAUCUUCCGCAAUGGGCGAAAGCCUGACGGAGCAACGCCGCGUGAGUGAUGAAGGUCUUCGGAUCGUAAAACUCUGUUAUUAGGGAAGAACAUAUGUGUAAGUAACUGUGCACAUCUUGACGGUACCUAAUCAGAAAGCCACGGCUAACUACGUGCCAGCAGCCGCGGUAAUACGUAGGUGGCAAGCGUUAUCCGGAAUUAUGGGCGUAAAGCGCGCGUAGGCGGUUUUUUAGUCUGAUGUGAAAGCCCACGGCUCAACCGUGGAGGGUCAUUGGAAACUGGAAAACUUGAGUGCAGAAGAGGAAAGUGGAAUUCCAUGUGUAGCGGUGAAAUGCGCAGAGAUAUGGAGGAACACCAGUGGCGAAGGCGACUUUCUGGUCUGUAACUGACGCUGAUGUGCGAAAGCGUGGGGAUCAAACAGGAUUAGAUACCCUGGUAGUCCACGCCGUAAACGAUGAGUGCUAAGUGUUAGGGGGUUUCCGCCCCUUAGUGCUGCAGCUAACGCAUUAAGCACUCCGCCUGGGGAGUACGACCGCAAGGUUGAAACUCAAAGGAAUUGACGGGGACCCGCACAAGCGGUGGAGCAUGUGGUUUAAUUCGAAGCAACGCGAAGAACCUUACCAAAUCUUGACAUCCUUUGACAACUCUAGAGAUAGAGCCUUCCCCUUCGGGGGACAAAGUGACAGGUGGUGCAUGGUUGUCGUCAGCUCGUGUCGUGAGAUGUUGGGUUAAGUCCCGCAACGAGCGCAACCCUUAAGCUUAGUUGCCAUCAUUAAGUUGGGCACUCUAAGUUGACUGCCGGUGACAAACCGGAGGAAGGUGGGGAUGACGUCAAAUCAUCAUGCCCCUUAUGAUUUGGGCUACACACGUGCUACAAUGGACAAUACAAAGGGCAGCGAAACCGCGAGGUCAAGCAAAUCCCAUAAAGUUGUUCUCAGUUCGGAUUGUAGUCUGCAACUCGACUACAUGAAGCUGGAAUCGCUAGUAAUCGUAGAUCAGCAUGCUACGGUGAAUACGUUCCCGGGUCU